GGGGAGGUUCCCGAGCGGUCAAAGGGGGCAGACUGUAAAUCUGUUGCUUAGGCUUCGAAGGUUCGAAUCCUUCUCUCCCCA
RNAcentral lists this transfer RNA (81 nucleotides) under Spirochaetales bacterium. RNAcentral describes it as "tRNA-Tyr". It matches the Rfam family "tRNA". From Rfam's summary of the family: Transfer RNA (tRNA) molecules are approximately 80 nucleotides in length. Their secondary structure includes four short double-helical elements and three loops (D, anti-codon, and T loops). Lineage: Bacteria; Pseudomonadati; Spirochaetota; Spirochaetia; Spirochaetales. The record is from RNAcentral.